UAAAAAAAAAAAAAAAAUUGCUUUUCAGCCACUUAAAAUUUCUCUAACCUAAUUCUAUAUACUUUGUCUCCACCACCACUUACAGAAUUUAGGGGAAAAAACACUAUCGCCUGGGAAUUCGUAUUCGAAAUUCUAAGUAGCGAAAAACUCAAUAAGCUAUAAAGAACCUAGAUGAUGUCUCCUAGCUACUCCGACGUCAUCGUCUAUCGUCACACCACCUACAUUACAUAAGCUUCACCGGCAGCGCUCCGUAUCUUUCCCUAACUCUACCGCUUCCGACUCCGAUUCCAAAUCUAUAAAGAAGGUUGCAAAGCCAGAGAAAAGAAAUGAUGAAAUUGAUAUUUUCAUAAUUCCAUGAUAAUGGAACAUAUUAAAAUGGAAGAUUGUACAUUUGAAAUAUCUGAUUUAUUCCCAUUAAAAAUUAUGGGUUUGUUGUUUUUCACUACAAAUAGUUUUUUAUGUAUACAAGAUUACUUAGGUUUUGAUCUAAAUGUAUGUGUUGUAAUUGAUGGGAUAAUUUAAUGAAAUUAUUGAAUAAGAAAUUGUGAUUUUUAAUAAAUUUGUGUUUGAAAUUGUGAUUUUACUUAGUUUUUUGAUCUAAUUGUAUGCGUUAGUUCAUGUUUGAAACUUUAUAAUGGAAAUAAAGUUAAUUAUGGCGGCGCGUGAAGUAACUGGCAGUUGGUGGUUUUGGGAAAUAAUGAUCGGGUUCCGGGAAGGUGGGCUUCUACCAAUUAUUUUUUUUUUUUAAAAAAUAUUUUUCUAAGAGACCACACUUCAUUUACAGGUGGUCUUUCAUCUCCAAUCUAAGAAACCUUUAUUUAUAGGAAAAUGGUCUCUUUGUCUUCUUUAUUUGUAAACAAAAAAGCCAUCUAAGAAACCAUAUAUCUUCCAAGCAUGGUUUUUUUUUUUUUUUUUUUUUUUUUUGUCCAAUCUAACAAACCAGACCAAUAGUAUGGUUUCUUAUUCUAAGAGACCACUUAGAUAUAAACCAUACAUUUAUUUGUCUCUUAGGCCUAUUUAGAAUGGUUUCUUAGCCACUUUUAGUAUUAGUGCGAGUUCGAUUUCAUCACGAACUUGAAGAGCCGCCCGU
This is a long non-coding RNA of Chenopodium quinoa (quinoa), 1090 nucleotides long. RefSeq lists it as uncharacterized. The transcript has 3 exons. NCBI's taxonomy places the organism in Eukaryota, Viridiplantae, Streptophyta, Magnoliopsida, Caryophyllales, Amaranthaceae. The record is from RefSeq and is a predicted model, not a curated record.